RNAcentral lists this transfer RNA (73 nucleotides) under Sus scrofa (pig). It matches the Rfam family "tRNA". From Rfam's summary of the family: Transfer RNA (tRNA) molecules are approximately 80 nucleotides in length. The record is from Rfam by way of RNAcentral. Lineage: Eukaryota; Metazoa; Chordata; Mammalia; Artiodactyla; Suidae.
CCCUUGGUGGCCAAGCAGUUAAGGAUUUGGCAUUGUCACUGCUAUGGUGCAGGUUCAAUCCCUGCCCUGGGAA